Molecule: long non-coding RNA, 1458 nt
Filed under: Nicotiana benthamiana
Lineage: Eukaryota; Viridiplantae; Streptophyta; Magnoliopsida; Solanales; Solanaceae
Description: long non-coding RNA (NBEN_LNC039251)
Source: RNAcentral
GUCACUUGAGUCUAAUUUUGUGGAUUCGGAAGCUUUGACGCAAAGGUAAUUUUUUUAUUUUUUCUUGUAUUUUUCUUGUUUUGUUGUAUUAUUUUCUUUUUCUUUUUGGUAGGUCAAGCGAAAAAGAUAUGUUCUUGUUAACAACGAUCUAUGCAUGAAGAAAAUAAUCUUAGGGUAUGAAAGGAUGGUACUCACCCCCGGCAAAUAUUGAAGGGAUUACUUUUAUGGCCCAAUUUUUGGAGAGAUUACUCUUAAUAUGGCCCAACUAUCGAUGGCCCAACUAUCGGAGAGAUUCCUCUCAAUGUGGUCCAAUUAUUGGAGAGAUUACUCUCAAAAAUGGCUCGACUAUCAGAGAGAUUACUCUAAAUGUGGUCCAAUUCUUGGAGAGAUUACUCUCAAAAUGGCCCUACUACCGGAGAGAUUACUCUCAAUUUGGCCCAAUUCUUGGAGAGAUUACUCUCAAAAUGGCCUGACUACCGAAGAGAUUACUCUCAAUGUGGCCUAAUUCUUGGAGAGAUUACUCUCAAAAUGGCCCGACUACCGGAGAGAUCACUCUCAAUGUGGCCAAACUAUCGGUGAGGCCAAUUUAAGGUGCAAAGAGACUCAUAUGUCCAUCUUAAUAUUGGAAAGUUAUAGUUCUUUUUAAGGAUAAACCCACGAAGAGGCCAACUUAAGGUGGAAAGGGACUUAUAUGUCCACCUUAAGAUUGGAAAGUUAUAGUUCCUUUUAAGGACAAAUCUACGGAGAGGCCAACUUAAGGUGCAAAGGGACUUAUAUAUCCACCUUAAGAUUGGAAAGUUAUAAAGCUUCAACUUGAAGACGACAUCGACUUGAACACUUGGAAAACUUUAAAGAUUUGACAGACUUUGCAUAAUUCAACUCGAAGAUUCAGUAGGAUUAAACAAUUCAACUUUAAGAUCGGCAAAUUUGAAGACUGAAACUUGAAGAUCGGCGAACUCAAAGACUUCAACGUGGGGGCUUAAAUAUUUCAACUUUAAAACCGGCGAAUUUGAAGACUUCAACUUGAAGAUCGACAGACUUGAAGACUUCAACUUUGAGACUUGGAGGACCUAAAUAUUUCAACUUGAAGAUCGGCGAAUUUGAAGACUUCAACUUUGAGACUUGGUGGGCCUAAAUAUUUCAACUGGAAGAUCGGCGAAUUUGAAGACUUCAACUUGAAGACUGACGAAGUUGAAUAUUACAAGUUGGGGACUUCAACUUGAGUACCAACGGACUUCAAGAUAUCAAUUUACCAUGGAGGGUUUCCCCUUUUAAAUCAAAUGAUAUCAAAGUUCCCCAAGAGGAUGGCAUUUAAGCUUGAUUUUGCAUUCCUCCAUACUUCACUCGGACAACAAUUGGGCAAAUAUGUAUCUUUUUAAAUUAUGCGACUGAACUUAGAAUGAAACUCUAAGCUGCCUACGUACCUCGGUGAAGAGGAUCAAUUCAUACCGUAGUUCA